UAGAAGGUAGUAUAAUUUGGCAGUACGCAAGGUUUUGGUCUUUGUGGUGCGGGUUCGUGGCCCGGUCUUUUA
Molecule: transfer RNA, 72 nt
Filed under: Gehyra variegata
Lineage: Eukaryota; Metazoa; Chordata; Lepidosauria; Squamata; Gekkonidae
Description: tRNA-Gln
Source: RNAcentral